AUGGUCAUGAAGGUUUGUGCUCAGCUCCUGGGAAUCCUGUUGUUCUGGCUCCCAGGUGCCAGAUGUGACAUCCAGAUGACCCACUCUUCAUCUUUCCUAUCUUCAUCUCCAGGAGACAGUCACAUCACUUGCAAAACCAGUCAGGGCAUUAGCAAUGAAUUGAACUGGUAUCAGUAGAAACCAGGCAAAGCUCCUAAGCUCCCGAUCCAUACUGUAUCCACAUUGCAAUCUGGAGUCCCAUCCAGGUUCAGUGGCAGUGGAUCUGGGACAGAUUUCACUCUCACCAUCAGCAGCCUAGAGCCUGAAGAUAUUGCAACUUAUUACUGUCAACAGGUUUAUAAUAAGCCAACCACAGUGAUAACAAGUCAUAACAUAAACCACCCAGGGAAGUGGAAAUGUGAGGCUGGACUGUCAUAG
Castor canadensis (American beaver) is the source of this 417-nucleotide non-coding RNA. The record is from RefSeq and is a predicted model, not a curated record. Lineage: Eukaryota; Metazoa; Chordata; Mammalia; Rodentia; Castoridae.